AUUGAACGCUGGCGGAAUGCUUUACACAUGCAAGUCGAACGGUAGAGGGGGCAACCCCCUUGAGAGUGGCGAACGGGUGAGUAAUAUAUCGGAACGUGCCCAGUCGUGGGGAUAACGUAGCGAAAGUUACGCUAAUACCGCAUACGAUCUAAGGAUGAAAGCGGGGGAUCGCAAGACCUCGCGCGAUUGGAGCGGCCGAUAUCAGAUUAGGUAGUUGGUGGGGUAAAGGCUCACCAAGCCAGCGAUCUGUAGCUGGUCUGAGAGGACGACCAGCCACACUGGAACUGAGACACGGUCCAGACUCCUACGGGAGGCAGCAGUGGGGAAUUUUGGACAAUGGACGCAAGUCUGAUCCAGCCAUUCCGCGUGCAGGAUGAAGGCCCUCGGGUUGUAAACUGCUUUUGUACGGACGAAAAGGUUCUCUUUAAUACGUAGGAG
RNAcentral lists this ribosomal RNA (438 nucleotides) under uncultured bacterium. RNAcentral's name for it is "bacterial SSU rRNA". It matches the Rfam family "Bacterial small subunit ribosomal RNA", at positions 30 to 471 of the family's 1533-position model. The record is from RNAcentral.